AUACGUAGGGGGCGAGCGUUGUCCGGAGUUAUUGGGCGUAAAGGGCGUGUAGGCGGCUUGUUAAGUCAGGUGUGAAAUUUCAGGGCUUAACCCUGAAACUGCGCUUGAAACUGGCAGGCUCGAGGACAGGAGAGGGAAGUGGAAUUCCCGGUGUAGCGGUGGAAUGCGUAGAUAUCGGGAGGAACACCAGUGGCGAAGGCGGCUUCCUGGACUGUACCUGGCGCUGAGGCGCGAAAGCUAGGGGAGCAAACAGGAUUAGAUACCCUGGUAGUCCUAGCCGUAAACUAUGAGUGCUAGGUGUGGGAGGUUAAAAUCCUUCCGUGCCGGAGUUAACGCAAUAAGCACUCCGCCUGGGGAGUACGGCCGCAAGGCUAAA
RNAcentral lists this ribosomal RNA (376 nucleotides) under uncultured bacterium. RNAcentral's name for it is "bacterial SSU rRNA". It matches the Rfam family "Bacterial small subunit ribosomal RNA", at positions 523 to 898 of the family's 1533-position model. The record is from RNAcentral.